GUGUGCGUAAGUGAGUGGAGUGCAUGUGAGGAUUCUUUAGCAUGUGAGUGAAUUGCAAAGUUUUUAUUUAGUCCUUAUUAAUAAAAAUUUCAUUCAAAUAAGUCCGUCGUCCUUACACACAUAUAUCCUCGAAUGAGCUAUAUAAUACGCUUUUCUCAACUUAUUGUUGUGCCUAUUCUAAUUUAUUGGAAUUCGCAUUUGAAACCCAAAUUUUUAAUUGAAUUCCAAAUUCUUUUUGCAGUGAUGCUUCUUGUGAGAAGCAUGAACAAUUUUCUUAAAAAUCUUGAUUUCUUUCCAACGAGACUCCAUGUAAUCAGAAUCAUUUUUCUGUGCAUAGACUCCAAAUUUGAAGAAAUGGAAAGCUCCUCCACGCCCAGAUCCCUGAUAUGACAGAAACCCAUCAACAUAAACCUUAACAUUGGAGGCAUCCAUAUCAUGAAUCACAUUAACUCUGAACCAUCUGUCGUAGAUUUGUGGGACAAUCACUGGAUCAGUGUAGUAGGUUAAAUUGCCAGAGUAGACUCUAAGCAUUAAGGUUGUCGUAAUGGUGGCAUUUGGAUCAGCUCCAAACACUUGCAUUAUACACACACCAGAUGUACCAGAUGGUACGUAUGCAUUUCCUUCGAAUUGCCAAACACCAGAAGUGUAAUUAUAUCCGUUGAUUAUGACUUCUGUUCGAGGCCUGGUGGGACUACUUCUGGCCAAAGGCUUGUCAGUGGAGUAGACCCAUAGCUGGUGGGUUCCAUUCACAAAGCUAUAUCGUUUGCUUACAUCUAAAUCAUAAGGCUUCUGUAUAUAGUAAUAAGAUGAGUUAAAGGGAAGUUCUGCGAAGCCUUGAGUUGGAUCCUCUGCUGUAGAGCAGCCAACCACACAAUAGAAGAGUAUUAGUACAAGAAAACCUGUACUGUAUAAAGUAGCAGUAGUGAUCAUUGCUUUAGAGAAAGAGCAGACCUAAU
Molecule: unclassified non-coding RNA, 956 nt
Filed under: Hevea brasiliensis (rubber tree)
Lineage: Eukaryota; Viridiplantae; Streptophyta; Magnoliopsida; Malpighiales; Euphorbiaceae
Source: RNAcentral